Centruroides sculpturatus (bark scorpion) is the source of this 190-nucleotide small nuclear RNA. RefSeq annotates it as U2 spliceosomal RNA. The record is from RefSeq and is a predicted model, not a curated record. The transcript has a single exon. NCBI's taxonomy places the organism in Eukaryota, Metazoa, Arthropoda, Arachnida, Scorpiones, Buthidae.
AUCGCUUCUCGGCCCCAGGCUAAGAUCGAAUUUAUAGUUUCUGUUCUAAUCAGCUUAAUAUCUGAUUCGCUUCUACCAGAAGCUUCGAUAUUAAAUUGAUUUUUGGAAACUGGCGAAAGGUUGGAGCUCGCUCCUCCUUUGUCGCGGGUUGGCUCGGGUUUGCACUGUUCCCGAGAACGGCCCACACCCC